CACCAGGUUGAUUCUGCCUGACGUAUGCGCUUGUCUUAAAGAUUUAGCCAUGCAAGCUUGCGAAGCAUUUUGUGAAGCGGCGGACAGCUCAGUAAUACAGUUAUAAUUUACUCGUAGUUAAUAUACGGAUAACCUUGGUAACCUAAGGCUAAUACGUGAUUGAGUUAUUUUAUUGGUGAAACAGAAAUAACUAAAAAAGUCUAACUUUACUACGAUUAAGUUUCUGGCCUAUUAGCUAGUUGGUAGGGUAACUGCCUACCAAGGCGAUGAUGGGUAACGGAGAAUCAGGGUUUGAUUCCGGAGAGGGAGCCUGAGAAAUAGCUCCCACGUCCAAGGAUGGCAGCAGGCGCGAAAAUUACCCAAUUCCUAAUGGGGAGAGGUGGUGAAGAGACAUGAAGUUUUACUUAGAGACUGCACAGUAAAGAAGUGUAGGAUCGACUGGAGGGCAAGUCUGGUGCCAGCAGCCGCGGUAAUUCCAGCUCCAGUAGCGCAUAUAAUAGUUGCUGCAGUUAAAACGUCCGUAGUUUAUCACGAUUACUGUGAGUAAAUUAUAGUUCUCAAAGCAAAUUUGUGAGUAAUUUAGCAUGGUAUAUAGUGAAUAUAGGAACAGAUGAUGGCAAUAGUAUUCAGUAGUAAGAGGUGAAAAUCGUUGACCUACUGAGGACUGUCGGAAGCGAAGGCGAUUGUCAAGUAUGUUUCCGUUAAUAAAGGACGUAAGCUAGAUUAUCGAAGAUGAUUAGAUACCGUCGUAGUUCUAGCUGUAAACGAUGCCUACUAGGUGAGGCCGAAAGGCUGCGCCUUAUGAGAAAUCAAAGUGUACGGGCUCUGGGGAUAGUACGUCGCUCAAGCAUGAAACUUAAAGAAAUUGACGGAAGGACACCACAAGGAGUGGAUUGUGCGGCUUAAUUUGACUCAACGCGGGACAACUUACCAGGACCGAACUUGUGUGAGAUUGGCGAUCUGAGAAGAUUCCCGAGAUUACAAGGAAGGUAGUGCAUGGCCGUUUUCAACACGUGGGGUGACCUGUCUGGUUAAUUCCGACAACGCGUGAGGCCCUAAUAAUUAUAUUAUAAUUAGACGGACAGCGGCAGGCUGUAGGAAGUGGGGCUAUAACAGGUCAGUGAUGCUCCUAGAUGCUCUGGGCUGCACGCGCAAUACAAUGGUAUGAUGAAAUUAUGUAAUGAGAAUUAUUUUUGUAAAUCAUACCGAAGCAGGGAUAAGCUUUUGUAAAUAAGCUUUGAACGAGGAAUUCCUAGUAAUCGCAAGUCAUUAUGUUGCGAUGAAUGCGUCCCUGUUCUUUGUACACACCGCCCGUCGCUAUCUAAGAUGGAUGCAUUGGUGAAAUGGCUGGACCCUUACGGUAAGGCAGUUGAACCUGUGCAACUAAAUAAGAUAUAAGUCGUAACAAGGUAACC
RNAcentral lists this ribosomal RNA (1415 nucleotides) under Jirovecia sinensis. RNAcentral's name for it is "SSU rRNA". It matches the Rfam family "Microsporidia small subunit ribosomal RNA". The record is from RNAcentral. Lineage: Eukaryota; Fungi; Microsporidia; Mrazekiidae.